GCCUGACUGCGAGACUGACAAGUCGAGCAGAGACGAAAGUCGGUCAUAGUGAUCCGGUGGUCCCGAGUGGAAGGGCCAUCGCUCAACGGAUAAAAGGUACGCCGGGGAUAACAGGCUGAUACUGCCCAAGAGUCCAUAUCGACGGCAGUGUUUGGCACCUCGAUGUCGGCUCAUCUCAUCCUGGGGCUGGAGCAGGUCCCAAGGGUACGGCUGUUCGCCGUUUAAAGAGGUACGUGAGCUGGGUUUAGAACGUCGUGAGACAGUUCGGUCCCUAUCUGCCGUGGGUGUCGGAAGCUUGAGAGGAUCUGUUCCUAGUACGAGAGGACCGGAAUGGACGCACCUCUGGUGGACCGGUUGUCGCGCCAGCGGCACAGCCGGGUAGCUAAGUGCGGAAAGGAUAACCGCUGAAAGCAUCUAAGCGGGAAGCCCCCC
RNAcentral lists this ribosomal RNA (432 nucleotides) under Alexandrium margalefii. Its description in RNAcentral is "partial Bacterial large subunit ribosomal RNA". It matches the Rfam family "Bacterial large subunit ribosomal RNA", at positions 2367 to 2798 of the family's 2925-position model. The record is from RNAcentral. Lineage: Eukaryota; Dinophyceae; Gonyaulacales; Pyrocystaceae.